RNAcentral lists this transfer RNA (75 nucleotides) under Streptomyces phage Moab. RNAcentral's name for it is "tRNA-Leu". It matches the Rfam family "tRNA". Rfam says of the family: Transfer RNA (tRNA) molecules are approximately 80 nucleotides in length. Their secondary structure includes four short double-helical elements and three loops (D, anti-codon, and T loops). Further hydrogen bonds mediate the characteristic L-shaped molecular structure. tRNAs have two regions of fundamental functional importance: the anti-codon, which is responsible for specific mRNA codon recognition, and the 3' end, to which the tRNAs corresponding amino acid is attached (by aminoacyl-tRNA synthetases). tRNAs cope with the degeneracy of the genetic code in two manners: having more than one tRNA (with a specific anti-codon) for a particular amino acid; and 'wobble' base-pairing, i.e. permitting non-standard base-pairing at the 3rd anti-codon position. The record is from RNAcentral. Lineage: Duplodnaviria; Heunggongvirae; Uroviricota; Caudoviricetes; Stanwilliamsviridae. RNAcentral also lists the same sequence under 1 other name.
GGCGGCGUAGCCCAAUGGCAGGAGGCAACAGAUUCAAAACCUGUACAGUGUGAGUUCGAGUCUCACCGCCGCUAC